AGCUUCAACUAUGAAUCGAACACAGAUUUCGAGGGUCAGAACCUCGUGUCUUAACCAUUAGACGAUUAAAGC
Molecule: transfer RNA, 72 nt
Filed under: Terrestrivirus sp.
Lineage: Varidnaviria; Bamfordvirae; Nucleocytoviricota; Megaviricetes; Imitervirales; Mimiviridae
Description: tRNA-Gln
Source: RNAcentral